AGUGAACGCUGGCGGUAGGCCUAACACAUGCAAGUCGAACGGCAGCACAGUAAGAGCUUGCUCUUACGGGUGGCGAGUGGCGGACGGGUGAGGAAUACAUCGGAAUCUACUUUUUCGUGGGGGAUAACGUAGGGAAACUUACGCUGAUACCGUAUACGACCUACGGGUGAAAGCAGGGGAUCUUCGGACCUUGCGCGAUUGAAUGAGCCGAUGUCGGAUUAGCUAGUUGGCGGGGUAAAGGCCCACCAAGGCGACGAUCCGUAGCUGGUCUGAGAGGAUGAUCAGCCACACUGGAACUGAGACACGGUCCAGACUCCUACGGGAGGCAGCAGUGGGGAAUAUUGGACAAUGGGCGCAAGCCUGAUCCAGCCAUACCGCGUGGGUGAAGAAGGCCUUCGGGUUGUAAAGCCCUUUUGUUGGGAAAGAAAAGCAGCAGGUUAAUACCCCGCUGUUCUGACGGUACCCAAAGAAUAAGCACCGGCUAACUUCGUG
Molecule: ribosomal RNA, 492 nt
Filed under: uncultured bacterium
Lineage: Bacteria
Description: partial 16S ribosomal RNA
Rfam family: Bacterial small subunit ribosomal RNA
Source: RNAcentral